CUUUUCUGCGUGUGUCUAAUGCUGAGCACGGUAUGUCGAGGCACAUCCGCUUUGAAGCUAUCAGAGAGCAUGGCAGGCAGAGUAAAGAAUACAAUAUCUUUCGUGAAAAGCAUAUAUAAAGAUGACUUUAGAUGGUCAAUAGUGAAGAGUGCAGUAGUAUUUCUGGGUGGAGUUUUACUAAUCCAGACCAUUGCUAAUUUGGAACCAGAGCCAUUACCAGCAGCUCCCCAAGCUUAGACCAGGCAAGGAUAUUUAUGCAAUGGAAAUAUCACAGUUAAAAGGAAAUUGAAACCUCAGGGAUACAUCUGGCAUGACAAAAAUAUAAAUGAUAAAAGACUUGAGACAUUUUGCAGUGGUUUUAAGACACUGAACCCAGAGAUGGAGGUUUCAAGUGCUGUGAUUGGAAAGAGACAGCUAUCUAAAUACUAAAUUUGGAUAAAACCAGCACUUGGACUUUGGAAUAGACUUGAGAUGUAUUGGGGAAAAAUAAUUUUAAUGUAAAAAAUUACAUAAACAAUACAUAUACAUUUGUGUGGUGUAACAUGUUUAUAUACGAAUAAAGGUAUGUUCUAAAUCUGAAA
Molecule: long non-coding RNA, 581 nt
Organism: Lingula anatina
Lineage: Eukaryota; Metazoa; Brachiopoda; Lingulata; Lingulida; Lingulidae
Source: RefSeq, a predicted model, not a curated record